This 253-nucleotide ribosomal RNA is filed under the name uncultured bacterium. RNAcentral's name for it is "partial 16S ribosomal RNA". It matches the Rfam family "Bacterial small subunit ribosomal RNA", at positions 524 to 775 of the family's 1533-position model. The record is from RNAcentral.
UACAGAGACUGCAAGCGUUAUUCGGAUUCACUGGGGCGUAAAGGGUGCGCAGGCGGCCAAGUGUGUGAGGCGUGAAAGCCUGGGGCUUAACUCCAGAAUUGCACCUCAAACUACAUGGCUAGAGCAUUGGAGAGGGUAGCAGAAUUCACGGUGUAGCAGUGAAAUGCGCAGAUAUCAGGAGGAACACCCGGUGGCGAAGGCGGGUCUCUGGGCAACACUGACGCUGAGGAGCGAAAGCGUGGGGAGCAACAGG